Molecule: long non-coding RNA, 363 nt
Filed under: Phaseolus vulgaris (common bean)
Lineage: Eukaryota; Viridiplantae; Streptophyta; Magnoliopsida; Fabales; Fabaceae
Description: long non-coding RNA (PVUL_LNC001350)
Source: RNAcentral
AAGGUAUAUUUAUUUUUUUCCUCUGGUAAUAAUUUAGCAUAGUUUGGUUUUAAAUGGUUGCUUAAUUUUGCUUGAAGAUUGGAACUUGGGUUUUCAGUAUUAUACUAAAUGGAUGGAGUAGCAAUGAAUUAGCAAGUUGGAAGAAUAUUAUUUUGGAAUUUUUAGUUUUAAUGAUAAUGGCAUAUUUAAAUUGCAUACUGAUAAGCUGAAGAUGAUUAGGUUUGGAUUUGGUUUUUCAUGCUUGCCUGGUUUUUUUCCACUAGCAAAGAGGUUGUGUUAAUAGAGUUCAAUAGUUGUGUUGUGAUGGAUGUUUGAUACUCAACAGAAUCACUUAAUGAUCCGUAUUAGACGCUUGAUCCUUUA